Molecule: transfer RNA, 85 nt
Filed under: Felis catus (domestic cat)
Lineage: Eukaryota; Metazoa; Chordata; Mammalia; Carnivora; Felidae
Also listed under: 4 other names
Rfam family: tRNA
About the family: Transfer RNA (tRNA) molecules are approximately 80 nucleotides in length.
Source: Rfam by way of RNAcentral
ACCUGGGUGGCUUAGUCUGUUAAGCAUCUGACUCUGGCUCAGGUCAUGAUCUCACGGUUUGUGGGUUCGAGCCCCAUGUCAGGCU